Molecule: ribosomal RNA, 405 nt
Filed under: uncultured bacterium
Lineage: Bacteria
Description: partial 16S ribosomal RNA
Rfam family: Bacterial small subunit ribosomal RNA
Source: RNAcentral
AUUGAACGCUAGCGGGAUGCUUUACACAUGCAAGUCGAACGAGUGGCGGACGGGUGAGUAAUAUAUCGGAACGUGCCCAAUAGCGGGGGAUAACUACUCGAAACAGUGGCUAAUCCCGCAUACUAUUGGAUCUGCCGAUAUCGGAUUGGCUAGUUGGUGGGGUAAAGGCUCACCAAGGCAACGAUCCCUAGCUGGUUUGAGAGGACGACCAGCCACACUGGGACUGAGACACGGCCCAGACUCCUACGGGAGGCAGCAGUGGGGAAUAUUGGACAAUGGGCGAAAGCCUGAUCCAGCCAUCCCGCGUGUAUGAGAAGGCCUUCGGGUUGUAAAGUACUUUUGGCAGAGAAGCGUUAUCUGCAGAAUAAGCACCGGCUAACUACGUGCCAGCAGCCGCGGUAAUUC